UGGUUGUCGUCAGCUCGUGUCGUGAGAUGUUGGUUAAGUCCCGCAACGAGCGCAACCCCUAUUGUUAGUUGCCAUCAUUCAGUUGGGCACUCUAGCGAGACUGCCGGUAAUAAACCGGAGGAAGGUGGGGAUGACGUCAAAUCAUCAUGCCCCUUAUGACCUGGGCUACACACGUGCUACAAUGGUUGGUACAACGAGUUGCGAGUCGGUGACGGCGAGCUAAUCUCUUAAAGCCAAUCUCAGUUCGGAUUGUAGGCUGCAACUCGCCUACAUGAAGUCGGAAUCGCUAGUAAUCGCGGAUCAGCACGCCGCGGUGAAUACGUUCCCGGGCCUU
Molecule: ribosomal RNA, 334 nt
Filed under: uncultured Streptococcus sp.
Lineage: Bacteria; Bacillati; Bacillota; Bacilli; Lactobacillales; Streptococcaceae
Description: bacterial SSU rRNA
Rfam family: Bacterial small subunit ribosomal RNA
Source: RNAcentral